GACGAACGCUGGCGGCGUGCUUAACACAUGCAAGUCGAACGAUGAAGCCGGAGCUUGCUCUGGUGAAUUAGUGGCGAACGGGUGAGUAACACGUGAGUAACCUGCCCUUGACUCUGGGAUAACUGCGGGAAACUGUAGCUAAUACCGGAUACGACCCUCGGAGGCAUCUCCUGGGGGUGGAAAGAAUUUCGGUCAAGGAUGGACUCGCGGCCUAUCAGCUAGUUGGUGAGGUAAAGGCUCACCAAGGCGACGACGGGUAGCCGGCCUGAGAGGGUGACCGGCCACGCUGGGACUGAGAUACGGCCCAGACUCCUACGGGAGGCAGCAGUGGGGAAUAUUGCACAAUGGGCGCAAGCCUGAUGCAGCGACGCCGCGUGAGGGAUGACGGCCUUCGGGUUGUGAACCUCUUUCAGCACCGACGAAGCGCAAGUGACGGUAGGUGCAGAAGAAGGACCGGCCAACUACGUGCCAGCCGCCGCGGUAA
Molecule: ribosomal RNA, 484 nt
Filed under: uncultured bacterium
Lineage: Bacteria
Description: partial 16S ribosomal RNA
Rfam family: Bacterial small subunit ribosomal RNA
Source: RNAcentral